AUACGUAGGGAGCAAGCGUUAAUCGGAAUUACUGGGCGUAAAGCGUGCGCAGGCGGUUUUGUAAGACAGUGGUGAAAUCCCCGGGCUCAACCUGGGAACUGCCAUUGUGACUGCAAGGCUGGAGUGCGGCAGAGGGGGGUGGAAUUCCGCGUGUAGCAGUGAAAUGCGUAGAUAUGCGGAGGAACACCGAUGGCGAGGGCAAUCCCCUGGGCCUGCAUUGACGCUCAUGCACGAAAGCGUGGGGAGCAAACAGGAUUAGAUACCCUGGUAGUCCACGCCCUAAACGAUGUCAACUGGUUGUUGGGGAUUUAUUUUCUCAGUAACGAAGCUAACGCGUGAAGUUGACCGCCUGGGGAGUACGGCCGCAAGGUUAAAACUCAAAUGAAUUGGCGGGG
This 395-nucleotide ribosomal RNA is filed under the name uncultured bacterium. Its description in RNAcentral is "partial 16S ribosomal RNA". It matches the Rfam family "Bacterial small subunit ribosomal RNA", at positions 523 to 918 of the family's 1533-position model. The record is from RNAcentral.